This 253-nucleotide ribosomal RNA is filed under the name uncultured bacterium. RNAcentral describes it as "partial 16S ribosomal RNA". It matches the Rfam family "Archaeal small subunit ribosomal RNA", at positions 474 to 727 of the family's 1478-position model. The record is from RNAcentral.
UACCAGCACCCCGAGUGGUCGGGACGUUUAUUGGGCCUAAAGCAUCCGUAGCCGGUCAUGCAAGUCCUCCGUUAAAUCCAGCCGCUCAACGGUUGGGCUGCGGAGGAUACUACGUGGCUAGGAGGCGGGAGAGGCAAGCGGUACUCAGUGGGUAGGGGUAAAAUCCUUUGAUCCGUAGAAGACCACCAGUGGCGAAGGCGGUCCGCCAGAACGCGCUCGACGGUGAGGGAUGAAAGCUGGGGGAGCGAACCGG